CCCAAAGACACCUCCUGGGUCACGCCGCUCUUAACGAGGCCACCUGGGGUCCAUGUGGAGGUAGACUCAAGCCUCCUGUGCGAUAAAGACACACGAAGACGACGUCUCGAUUCCACUUAGGGGAUUGUCUACGUUUUUUGUUGACAAAACGAUCUUACACAAGGGUCGACUUCCUCAACCUCUAACGUGAAACAGUCUGCCUACAUCUCGUCAGCGUGUGCAGGUUUGGCGGGAUCAUGGCUUCCUCCUUUCCCCGCCGUCGACUUCAGACCCAACGCCAGUGCCUCAGUCUGCCCGGCAAAAGGACCUGAGCUGUUCCCUGACUGGCUCCCCUCUUGGGCCGUCCCAUCAAAGCCUGUAUUUUCAAAGUUUUCUAUUGGCUCUUGGAGGAUAGCAGCGCCUUCUGGAGGUCCUGAUUGGCCGAGUUCAGAGGGCGGCGAUGGUGAGUCGGACUGGACAGCCGGACUGUCGGCAUCCUCUGCUGUUGGCUGGGAGGACGAGGGGUCUGUCAGGAUGUUUCUGGAAAUUACUAAAAUGACAGAAAAUAUUAUUUCUCUUAUCUCUUGUGUUAAAUAUAACAUCUCAGAUGACUACCUGACAAUUCACCACUAGCUCAAGGGUUGAAUUUGGCAUGAACUGGUAGAUAUGGGUAAUUUGUUGGCAUGUUGUUAUAUGUAUGUAUGUGUGUGUGACCGGAUCUAAACGUUUUUGGUUUACACUUUGUGCAGCACGAGUGUUUUCUUUUAGCACUUUGUAAUCUAUGGAUUUAAUAAAUGCUAAAUAAAUACAUUA
Molecule: long non-coding RNA, 792 nt
Organism: Micropterus dolomieu (smallmouth bass)
Lineage: Eukaryota; Metazoa; Chordata; Actinopteri; Centrarchiformes; Centrarchidae
Exons: 2
Source: RefSeq, a predicted model, not a curated record